GCCUACGGGGGCAGCAGUGGGGAAUAUUGCGCAAUGGGCGAAAGCCUGACGCAGCGACGCCGCGUGAGGGAUGAAGGUCUUCGGAUCGUAAACCUCUAUCAGCAGGGAAGAACGGUCACUGUGCUAAUCAGCAGUGAAUUGACGGUACCUGCAAAGGAAGCACCGGCUAACUCCGUGCCAGCAGCCGCGGUAAUACGGAGGGUGCGAGCGUUAAUCGGAAUUACUGGGCGUAAAGCGCUCGUAGGCGGUAUGUCAAGUCGAGGGUGAAAUCCCCGCGCUCAACGUGGGAACUGCCUUUGAAACUG
RNAcentral lists this ribosomal RNA (305 nucleotides) under uncultured bacterium. RNAcentral's name for it is "bacterial SSU rRNA". It matches the Rfam family "Bacterial small subunit ribosomal RNA", at positions 337 to 635 of the family's 1533-position model. The record is from RNAcentral.